RNAcentral lists this ribosomal RNA (493 nucleotides) under uncultured bacterium. RNAcentral's name for it is "partial 16S ribosomal RNA". It matches the Rfam family "Bacterial small subunit ribosomal RNA", at positions 33 to 507 of the family's 1533-position model. The record is from RNAcentral.
ACGCACGCUGGCGGCGUACUUUAGGCAUGCAAGUCGAACGCGAAAGCCCCUUCGGGGGUGAGUAGAGUGGCGAACGGGUGAGUAACACGUGGGUAACCUGCCCCUCGCAGGGGGAUAACCGGGGGAAACCCCGGCUAAUACCCCGUACGCUUGCUGGGGCGCAUGCUCCGGCAAGGAAAGGUAGCUUCGGCCAUCCGGCGAGGGAGGGGCCCGCGGCCCAUUAGCUAGUUGGUGGGGUAACGGCCCACCAAGGCGACGAUGGGUAGCUGGCCUGAGGGGGUGGUCAGCCACACUGGGACUGAGACACGGCCCAGACUCCGACGGGAGGCAGCAGCCAGGAAUCUUGCGCAAGGGGCGAAAGCCUGGCGCAGCAACGCCGCGGGGGCGAUGAAGGCCUUCGGGUCGUAAAGCCCUGUUGUCGGGGACGAAGGGCGAAGGGUUAAUAGCCCCUAGCCUGACGGUACCCGACGAGGAAGCCCCGGCUAACUACGUG